UCUCAACUCUUAAUAUAAAAGGGGAAAGUGGGAAGACAUUCUACGGACGCCUCUAACCGAGAGUCCAAACCCGCGAUAUUGUGAAGAAGUUUGCCCUGUUCGUUUCUCUGUUCGAUACCCUCUCACCGAGAGUCCACCGCCGGCAACUGAUUCACCGCCUGUUGACCACAAGCCUCGCCUGGUUCUGGUUGUUCGGAGGUAAGUCUCUCUUUGUCUUCUUUUUUUUUUUUUUUUUUUCUUGAAUCCUAUUCUUCUCUCAUGAAAAUCUGAUUUGGGUUUUGAAAGAUUUGGGGGUUUUCUGUUAGAGAUGUUAAUGGGAGAGACUACGAUUUGGGGGUUUUCCGUUUGAGACGUUUGAAGUUUGCAGAAAACCAGAGAUGGUAGCUAUUGAUUUCUUCCUCUACCUGCUUCAAGUUUCAUUUUCACUUUCAGAUUUCUCUUCUUCUUCUUCUUCUUCCUACAAUUUUAAUUCCUACCCAAUUCACAACAAUGGAGAUUGAAGCUUCAAAAUUCAAGACGUAAGAAGAAGUCCGCAUUCCACCAAAGAGAGGGCAGAUCAAAAGAAGGAUCUUUACUGGGUUGGUCAGCUCUGUACUGACAGUAGCAUCCCCUAACUGCGUGGGACAGGGGAAAAGCAAAGAUGUCAACCCAGUGCAUUUAGUUCCAUCUCCUCUGCAACCUCACCUACAAGCGCUUAUGGUUCAGAGGAUUAUUCCUAGUCCCUACGGGUUACAAGCAUACAGACAAAACCCCAAUUAAUAGAUAGAACAUGUUCUCCCCUGCCUCUCACCUGCUUUGUUCCAUAACUUAUUUUCAGUUUCUAGUGUUGGUCUUCCUCUUCUUCCUGCACUUAAUUUUCUUUCUCUUCCAUUCUAUCAAAAAGAGAACCGAUCCUUACCAUUUCUUCUUACCUUCUUCUGCUGUCUUUCUUCCAUGGUAGUCCUACAUAAGAGUUUGAGAGAGCUAUUGUUGAGAUGCAAGGGCCCCUGAAUUUUCUUUGUUUGGUAGUGAGUUAUAACCAUUGGUGCUUUUAGUUUUGUUCAGAGUAGGGGUAUCGAAAGAUGGGUUCUGUUCUGAUCUCUGAAUGAAUCAAUUUGUGGAUUCUUUACCUCAAAAUGAAAUUUCAUCAAGUCAUAGAUAUAAACUUGGGAUUAUUGUAAGUUGAAUCCAUAAUUUCAUCAAGUCAUAGAUAUAAGCCUAAGGUGUUUGAACACUACAUGAAGAAUAUCGAAGAUUGUGGUCAAGACUGACAAGGUGAUGUAAUAUUUACUCGAAUUUAGCCUUAUGUUUUCAUUCGUUUGUGACUUAUAUGGGCUCCCUUUGGGUUUGGAUUAACGUUGAGCUUACCUUGAAAAAAAAAAUUCCUUUUGGUGUUUUGAUCUGUUUCUUCUUUUUCAAGAUGUAUGUUGUUGAACCUAUGCUAUUGCUUGUAUUGCUUUGAACGAGAAGAUUGGUUUUGAAUUGAAUUGAAUUAUGUAUUUUAUGCUUAUUGGCACUAAAAAGGGCUUACGGAUCUGGAGAUUUACGAAAUUUGAAAUUUAUGCUUAUGUAGUUUAUCUCUUUAGGGUAGAUUUCUGCCUUUUCUUUCUCUUUUUGUGAGUGCUAUAGGGGUCUUCUUAUGGAAAUUUGAAAUUGUUCUUGGGAAAUUCAUGGUCGUGUGGUACUUGAAAUCACUUCAGUGAUGGUUAAGGUAAUUUAACAUAAUGCAAAUGAGGGUUCUUAGGAUUUAUUUCCUGAUGGUUUUGGAAAUUUUGCUUGUUGAUCUUUGCUUUUGCAUGGUCUGUUAAUCUAGAUUCUGUCAUGAAUCUCGUGAGUUGGAGACGGGGAACUAAAGAUUGAGGUUAGUAUCAGUGUUGUGAUACAUGUAGCAAUAUACUAAUUGCACUUUGAAGUUAAAAUAUAGUCCAGAGUGUGUCUUCUUACAUGAGGAGCUUACUAGAGGUGUAAAUGAGUUGUCUUUAACUAGGUACUCGUAUUGUCAAGUUUGAUAUUCUACUAGAAAACAUUUACUAUUAUGUGAGGCAUGGGUUAAAAUAUAAAUGUGUUUAAGGUAUGUGUAUGCAUCAAUAUACCAUGACCUGUUGUUAAUUGGAAAUUGCUAUCUGUCUCAGCAUUUGGCUUUCUAUCAUUUUUUUAAAGUAAAUAUAAGGCUUUACUUACCUUGAUUCCUUAUGGAAUUUCGCUAUGUCAUGUAAUUUAAAAACAACGGAACAUGAGAUAUUUAAUAGUUUUUGAGUGGGAUGGAGGUAAAGAUUCAGUAAAUGAUUAUGUACUUAUUUCAAUAAUUGUCAUGCAACAUAAACUGAACGAUCGUUCUCCAUUGUAAGUUUCUAUAUUUUGGUCAAUUCUUUGCGGCAAUUGUGUCAUACAAAUUCUCUAUCUUUGUCUCACGCCUGGCUGAUGAUCCUGCCAAUAAAAAAAAAUGAUACGAAAGCUGAAAACCAUGCUUCAUCUAGUAGCAACACUGGGCUUAGAGUACUAGGCAUAUGCAUUGGGGUUGUGGUUGUUGUAGCCUUAUCUGUAUUCCUAUUUAAGCUAUGGCAGAAGAAGAAGAGAGAAGAAAAACAUGUGCGCCUUUUGAGGUUAUUUGAAGAGGAUGAUGAGCUUGAGCUUGGCCUUGGGGAUUGAAGUAUGUUCUUAUUUAUACUAUGACUGUAAUUUUGUUGAGACAAGUUAUAUAAUAAACAUCUGGACCAGAUCAUCAAUAGAUUUAGCUGUUUCUUCUUUUUGUUUUGUCAUUCUAUAUGACGUCCAUACCAGAUUAUAACAUGUUUUUUGGCAGAUGGUUUUUUGGGGUAUCUUUUGAAAUUAAUGAAAAUUCUGGUUGUAGUUGUUGAUUCUUGACCACUUUAUGUAUUUUUCUUUCCAUGCGAUUCUUAUUUAAUUGCUGAGAGGACAAGCGGCUAAUAUGAAAGUUCAUAUUAUCUUCUUUAUUC
Macadamia integrifolia is the source of this 2936-nucleotide long non-coding RNA. RefSeq lists it as uncharacterized. The transcript is spliced from 2 exons. The record is from RefSeq and is a predicted model, not a curated record. NCBI's taxonomy places the organism in Eukaryota, Viridiplantae, Streptophyta, Magnoliopsida, Proteales, Proteaceae.